CCUACGGCGGGCAGCAGUGGGGAAUAUUGGGCAAUGGGCGCAAGCCUGACCCAGCAACGCCGCGUGAAGGAAGAAGGCUUUCGGGUUGUAAACUUCUUUUAUCAGGGACGAAACAAAUGACGGUACCUGAUGAAUAAGCCACGGCUAACUACGUGCAAGCAGCCGCGGUAAUACGUAGGUUGCAAGCGUUAUAGGAGUUACGUGGGGUAAAGGGCGUGUGGGCGGGCUUUCAAGUCAGAUGUGAAAUUCCAGGGCUCAACCCUGGGACUGCAUUAGAAACUGGAUGUCUGGAGUGCUGGUGAGGCAAGUGGAAUUCCGGGUGUAGCGGUGAAAGGCGUAGAUAUACGGAGGAACACCAGUGGCGAAGGCGGAUUGCGGGACAGUAACUGACGCUGAGGCGCGAAAGCGUGGGGAGCAAACAGGAUUAGAUACCCUGGUAGUC
RNAcentral lists this ribosomal RNA (442 nucleotides) under uncultured bacterium. RNAcentral describes it as "partial 16S ribosomal RNA". It matches the Rfam family "Bacterial small subunit ribosomal RNA", at positions 338 to 795 of the family's 1533-position model. The record is from RNAcentral.